CUUCCCAUUAACUCACCACCAACCACUCAGAAGAAUGCCCAUGAGCUGACCACACCCCACUCCUUGAACACUGUAAGACUCCUCACUACCGCCUUCGGGGUGGGAUGCACAGUUUAGAGGGCACUGCUCUGCUGUGGUUCCCUGAGUCUGGCAGAGAAAUGAAGCUAUUCAUUUUUACUUCACCCAAAACUCUGUCUCCAUGAUUCAGUUCUGUGCCGGUGUGCAGAAGCCAAGUUUAAGCAACACUCCUGAGCAGGAAUUCCAUAGGUACGAUUAAGUUAUGAAAUCAAUUGAUUACCAAGAGCGGGAUUAUCCAUGUGGGUGUUAACGAAUCACAAAACUCUAGGUCUGAGUCAGAGUCAUGAGAACUUGAUGCACCCUUUCUGGCUUGGAGAUGAAGGAGGCCUUGCAGCAAGAGAUGCUGGUGGAAUGUCAGACCAAGGAGCAGUCCCAGUGGACAGUCAGUCAGAAAGGAAACCAGAGACCACAGUGUUAAAACUGUAAAAAACUGAAUUUUUCGUGGAAUAUAAAUUGCUUUGAAAUUAAACAUGGAAGCUGACUUCUCCCAGAACCUCCAGAAGAACUCAGCCUGAGGGACCCCUCUGAGUCAGAUUUGUGUUAACCCUGAGCAGACCAGCCAUGUGGUACCAGGCUUUUGACCUACAGAAAUGGUGAGGUCCCUGGUUAUGAAUAUGUUUGAGAGCUUCUGUGGGCUAUAAAACAAGCCUGGGCUGGCCUGAUCAUAGGGUGCCAUGCACUCUAAUGAGAGAAAGAACAAACACAGAUAAACAAAACUGACCCAGCCCAGGCCCUCAAGGAGAUGACGUCAUUCAGAGAAGAAUGAUAUGGAUGGAAUUAGGAUGAAGUAUAAUAAAUGCCAUGAAGGAAGCAAUAUGGAAUAUCAUGAAAGUACCCACCUCUGGCUGUAAUGACCUUUUGGCAAUCAGAAAAGCUUCCCCCUUGCAAGGAAAACUUUAACCAGGAGACUGAAACAAACUAACAAAAAUAAACAAACGAAACCUCCAAACUCCCUUGGUUGACUGUUUCCAUAUCAAAUCAGUCCACCUGCCAUCAAACUUUGAACAAGCCAUCACAGUUGUAAACAGAACAUAAUUAUUGGCGGUGACUGGUUCCAGGGCCCUAAAUUCAUGGAAAUUACUUAGGUCAUUAUUCCAUCAUAGAAGCAUUUCCAUAUGCAUCACUAUUAAUGUGAAAGACACCUUUCUUCUUUGAAAGCAAUAAUUAACGUUUUUAAAAGUUCUCUUGGAAGUGCUUAUCUCUGUUCAAUAAAACACUAAAGUUAUA
Molecule: non-coding RNA, 1305 nt
Organism: Sus scrofa (pig)
Lineage: Eukaryota; Metazoa; Chordata; Mammalia; Artiodactyla; Suidae
Source: RefSeq, a predicted model, not a curated record